Strigops habroptila (Kakapo) is the source of this 3664-nucleotide long non-coding RNA. The record is from Ensembl. NCBI's taxonomy places the organism in Eukaryota, Metazoa, Chordata, Aves, Psittaciformes, Psittacidae.
GGAGAGCCUGAUUAACAGGAACAAUCCAUUAAGUUCAAAAUUCAGCUGGACAUGAGCAGCCUGAUCCAGUGUCUAAGGUGGCCCUGCUUUGGGGAAAGAUAAGAUGACUGCCUGCAGUCCCCUUCUGAGCUAAAUUGUUCUCUGAUUCAAUCAGGAACCUAGAGAGGUCCCUUCCUCUUAAGGGACUUAAGAAUGCUUGCCUUUUUUAGGCUUGGAGUUAGGGUUGAGAGACAGUGCCUACUAGGGCUCGACAAUGCAGAUAUCUGAGCAAAAAUCUGAGCUGCACAGAUUCUUUUGCUGACGACAAACCUUUCAUAUUGCAGAGCCAGCUGUAGAGUACCCUCCCACCCUCUGGGAGCCCACAAGGAGGGCAAAGCAAAAAUAAGCUAUUGUAUCUGCAGAUGAAAUAUUUGAGCACUGUACUGCACUUUUCCAAUUAACUCUCUAAGCAAGACCGCCUGGAACUAGCAAGCAAUUGCAUCUAUUACCUGCUUCCUCCCAUCUCUCUUCAUGUGCAUCAUUCAGCAUUAAAAAAACCCUACCCUUUCUGACAACUCUCUUUGUAAUCAAGGUAAUGCAAAGUAAAUACUUGCAUUUAUGUCAUAAAACAGCUUGGCCUACCUACAAAUGAGAGCAUAUAAAUCCCCUCUUAGGAAAAGAUGUAUUUUAAAAUUGGAACAACAGCUUUAUUCAUAAUUCAGCAAAAACGCAACAGAAAAGCAAAGAAAAAAAUGCAAAUUGUAAAAAAAAAAAAAAGAUAAAUUUUAACUGCAUUAACUUUUAAUGAGAAUACUGCCUGGUGGAAAGUAAAGUGUAUGUACACAUGCAGAAACCAGCAGAGCCUGGAACUAACAUGCAUUGCUCAACUUUGUAGUUUGCUCUCUGAAGCAGCACUAAUGUAACUCUGCUUUUUUUUUUUUUCCUAUUACAAUAAACAAAAAAUUCUUCCUAAGCUAUAACGAAACAGUUGCAAGGCUACAGGCUGUAAGUUUACUGGUUACUUAGAUCAACUGAUUCUGUCUGCAGAGUUUGCAAGCACCACAAAAUUGCAAAAGCAAAACCUCCAAAGAAGGUGAAGGUGCAUACGCAUUUUUGUAGAAGACAUACCCUUUCUUAUGACCAUCAACAAGCUUUUAAAAAUAAAUCUAAUCACUCUCUAACAGUUCGAAGUGCACUUCACUUACUUUAGGUUUAAUAAAAACCUACCUGCAAUAUCUUGUAUAUUUUUCAAAAGGAAAUGCACAAGAUGCAAAAUUUAACCUGUGUUGUUAAACUGGGCAGAAACCCUACCACCAUCGCAAAGGCAAUCAAGCUUAGAUCAUGUCAGGUUUUGAUGUUUCAGAACAUUACUGUCACUGCUCUGUUACUUUAGAUCAGCUUUCCGUGUUGCUGCCUCCACCUUUCUUUCUUGAAGCCAGGAACCUAUGGAGGCUUUGUGGUAAGAGACACAGGCAUGGCUGGAGGAUCCUAGAGCUCAUCUGCUGAAAGGGAGGGUGGCUUGAGGCAGGAAGCAUAGAACUCCAGAAGUAUGUGGUGUGAUGGCUUGUCAUUCCUCCACUGGGCAUGAGCUGGUGGCAGUGAUCCUCCCCAGAGCUGGCUGUUGGGAGGAGGAGGAGAAAUAGAUGCUGUCUGUUGCUGGUAGACUUGAAGUUGGGAUUACAGGCAGUGUUGGACACCCUUGUGCUGCUUGUGUUAUUUGUUCUGCAAUGCUGGCAGAGCAUGUUGCUGCUCCAGGCCACAGAAAUCCAAACUGGAGACCAAGGACUCAACUCUGCAUGGUGGAAUGGCUGAAAUGUGCUUACUGGUUCUUGGGCAGCACAGCCUCACAGUGUUCCCAAGCUUUGGGAAGGCCUUGCUGCAUCCAUAUUGGACAGAAAGCUUCUGGGAGUCCCCAAGGAGGAGCACAUGUGAGCAAGUGAGUGUGGAGGAGUGAGUGUGUAUAUGUAGAGAGAGAGGGAGAGAUGGCCACAAAUGAAGGAGUUGAAGUGUCUUUUGCAAUCACCCCACACUGCAUUACCCUGCUAGGACCAUACUGGUAGGUAGAGAGAACCGUAACCCCUCUAUUGAUCAUCUUUACUGAAAGGUUCACUGGCCUUUAAAGGUUAUCGGGCAGUGUUACCAGAUACUAGUUACUAGAUAAAGAUGAAUUUUAUAGUGCUAGGAACACAAAAGACAGCAAACUUUAUCACGCCUUUUGCAAUAGAGAAGCAAGCUUCACAUACCUUGCUUUUUCCACCUUCGUGUACUUAAGCAGGGCCAGCCACAAGGUCACUCUAGAAACUAAGAAGGUUGAGCAAAAGCUGAAGGGCAGAGCAGAAGAUGAGGACAAUUUGGAUUGUUUUGUCUUCACAGCAGGAAAUCAUCAUGGAGGAGAACUAAAUUGUAUAGAGGCAACCUCCAGAAAGUCUCUCAGUCAUCUCAAAGGAGAUGCAGUUUCUGAACCAAGGUUCAAGAUAGUUUUGACCACAUCAUAUGAGGUCAGAUAGCACCAUUUGUAGAGUUAUACUACAAGGACAGAAGGUUCUCCAAUCUCAGAGAGGUGCUGAAAGAAUAGAAUUCACUAAUGCUGGUGAAAGAUGCUUGGAUACUACAGGGAACAGUGCCACAGAAAUGCCUAAAAAUACUGAAUUCAUAUUUGCAUGUUCUAAUUGUGCCUUUGGGUUCUCUAAAAUUGACUUGUUUUUAGUUUCAUUAAAAUACUUUUAAAAUUGGGAGCGGGGAGUAGUGUCUGGAUGCAGCAUCCAAAAAAGGGCAGCCCAAAGUCUGAAAACUCUUGCUUGGGGAAGAAGGGAAGGGAAUUUGGGGGGGCCUUGUCUUUUCCUGACCUGGACCUCUGACCAUGGCAUAUUCUGCAGGACAACAUCUUGUCCUGUUCUCAGCAGGCUUACAACACUGAAAGAGGCAAGAGCAGUAACUGGCUACACUUUAGGGCAUGCUGCAGUUGCAUUGGGAUUAAAGUAAACUCUCAAAACACCUUUCUGGAGAGAAAAAGCACCAUUUUUUUCAGUUAAUUUCUGUAAUUUGAAGGCAAAUCUGAAAACUAGGCAAAUGCAUAUUUCACCUGAGAGGUAUCACUUGGUUUUCAUUUCUUUCAGAAUAUCUUUCAGUGUCAGAUUCUUUCUUUCAGGAUAAAGCUGUCCUUAUGCAAAGCAGUGUGCCUAAUAGCUAUCCUCUACUACGUAAACAAGUCAAUUUUGCAAGGACUGUAGGUGUCAAGCCAGAGCACCGUUCGGGACUACAGUACAGGGAUUCUAGAUUUUAAAUGAAAUGUUACCUCAUGCAUCAUUUUCUGUCAUACUUGUAGAAUUCCAUUUUGUUUCUUUCAAAAUAAAUGUUACUUUCUGUAAUCUGUACACAUCCUAAAGCUACUGGUUUGUUUUUCUUAAUGGCCAUUUUGCUUUGCUUUAAACAUGUGGGUUUUCUUUAAACUCUAAAAAAAACCAAUGAAGGUUAAAACUUUGUACAUUUUUAAAAUGACUGCUAAGGUCAAAAGUAUAAAAGUACAUGUUGCAUUAAAAUUGAGUGCUGUUUAUGUAUUUACAGAGAUGUAUGUUUUUGCAUUGUUAAAAAGAAUGAUCUAUGCUUUCUUUUCGGGGGGAUCUGUGCUCCAGUAUUGUCCAAUAGCUUUCAUACUCUAAUUACUUUAAGUAAAGUUCUAACAGUU